Molecule: non-coding RNA, 898 nt
Organism: Schizosaccharomyces pombe (fission yeast)
Lineage: Eukaryota; Fungi; Ascomycota; Schizosaccharomycetes; Schizosaccharomycetales; Schizosaccharomycetaceae
Source: the annotation of a GenBank genome assembly
ACGACCAACACCCUUGAUUUGGGUCAUGGCGAACAUGACCUUGACCUUGCCAUCAACGUUGGUGUUGAGGAGACGGAGAAUGUGUUGGAACUAUUUAAGAAUUAGUAAAUGUGACAUUAAUUUACCAUGUUGCUAGCCUUUAAACUUACAUUGUCGGGAACAACCAGAGACAUGUUGAGAUACUGGCUAAUGCGCUGUGGACAAAGUUUUAGCUGCUCCUACGGUUUGUGUUGACUUUGUGACUGCUCUUUGGCUAGUUUGUUGAAUUGCGAGUAUUUGUGUAUGUUGGCCGGCUAAAUCACUUUAAGAAGAUGUAGUAUUAGUACCUUCAAACACACUAUUUCGGCAUAUGUAGUUACUAUUUGUUUACAAGCAUAAUAAACAAAUGCAUUAAAAUAAUACUCACUCAACAAAUACACCGGACGAAAACUGUUUCUUAAAAAUCGUCCAAAAGUUAGGGACCGAAAAUUUUAGUUCUGACUAUGUGUCGAGGUCCGGUGGUUAAUUUAUGAAUACAUAGCUUUAAACUACAAUCUGCAUCGAUGAAUAACAAGUUCUAAAAGUCAUGACAAAUUCAAAGUUAGCCAUAUGCCCAUAGAUGCACUUACGCAAAGUAACUCGCUACUCUAGUUUAUACUUCUUUAAAAGCAAAAUUGACGAUAAUGUAAUGACCUCCUUUGUGAUCCUGGUUAAUAAGUAAAUUGGAGCACCCAAAUUACAAUCUUUUCAAUAACAAAGCAUACAAAAUUGUUUGUAUUAAGGAUUUUAUGUAUCGUUUAAAGGAAUCGCUUAACUUAUUACCCUCGUCCGCUAAGCCCUCUCUACAUAAAGAUCAACUAACUAGUCAUAUCGUGGAAAAAGAGAUCGCUUGAAAAGCGAUAAAGUUGCUUUGUACUAC